Molecule: ribosomal RNA, 273 nt
Filed under: uncultured bacterium
Lineage: Bacteria
Description: partial 16S ribosomal RNA
Rfam family: Bacterial small subunit ribosomal RNA
Source: RNAcentral
UACGUAGGGCGCAAGCGUUGUCCGGAAUUAUUGGGCGUAAAGAGCUCGUAGGCGGUUUGUCGCGUCUGCUGUGAAAACCUCAGGCUCAACCUGGGGCUUGCAGUGGGUACGGGCAGACUAGAGUGCGGUAGGGGUGACUGGAAUUCCUGGUGUAGCGGUGGAAUGCGCAGAUAUCAGGAGGAACACCGAUGGCGAAGGCAGGUCACUGGGCCGCAACUGACGCUGAGGAGCGAAAGCAUGGGGAGCGAACAGGAUUAGAUACCCCAGUAGUCC